Molecule: transfer RNA, 74 nt
Filed under: Formosa sp. Hel3_A1_48
Lineage: Bacteria; Pseudomonadati; Bacteroidota; Flavobacteriia; Flavobacteriales; Flavobacteriaceae
Description: tRNA-Arg(tct)
Rfam family: tRNA
About the family: Transfer RNA (tRNA) molecules are approximately 80 nucleotides in length. Their secondary structure includes four short double-helical elements and three loops (D, anti-codon, and T loops). Further hydrogen bonds mediate the characteristic L-shaped molecular structure. tRNAs have two regions of fundamental functional importance: the anti-codon, which is responsible for specific mRNA codon recognition, and the 3' end, to which the tRNAs corresponding amino acid is attached (by aminoacyl-tRNA synthetases). tRNAs cope with the degeneracy of the genetic code in two manners: having more than one tRNA (with a specific anti-codon) for a particular amino acid; and 'wobble' base-pairing, i.e. permitting non-standard base-pairing at the 3rd anti-codon position.
Source: RNAcentral
UGUCCUAGUCGCCUAAGGGAUGGGCAUGGGCUUUCUAAGCCUGUUUGUGUGGGUUCGAAUCCUACCUAGGAUGU